AUGAGGCUCUCAUCUUUAUUAAAGUUUUUGAUAACUGGAAAAUUACUUGGAGUGAAUUACCAACGUUCAAUUAUUAUUUGUCCAAGAAAAUUAAUUUGUUCCAGGUUCCCUAGCUCGCUAUAUGCAUAAACAUAACAUUUUAUCUUCUUCUUCAUCACUUCAUUCAGUGUCAUAUAUCUCAGAUUUGUAAUUACAGAUGUCUGUACCAAAAUGGGAGGAUUUGAACAUGGACUGUUUGGUGAAUGUGCUUAGAAGAGUGGGGAUAGAGUCACUACUAUUGGGCGCUCCCUUUGUGUGCCAGUCAUGGUACAAAGCAAGCCUUCAUCCUUCAUGCUGGCAAAUCAUUAAUUUUCAAAAAAUUGAAAGUGGUCCUUUGUCUUGGUACUUUUAUGAUGGAAUUACAACUGAAUUUAUUAAGUCCAUAAUUAAUCGAAGCCGUGGAAAUGCUACUGCAGUCUGGCUACCUGACGACUGCACUGAGGAGGCAUUAAGAUAUAUUGCAGACGAGUAAGUUGUAUACCUUUUCUGUUGUCAACUGCUCACAAUGUCUUAGUUAUUACUCACCCUUAUAGUUCACUGUUCCUCUAUGCGGUCUCAUGGAUGUGCAAAAGGUUAAGGAGGUACUUCUAAGUUCUUAGUUCUAACAGGUGCCCUGCCUUGAAGGCUCUGAUUCUGUCAGGGAAUCUAUGUUACAGGUAUUUCCCGGUUAUUCCAGAACUCAUAAGUAAGUGGAAAAAUCUAGAGCAGCUGAGACUCGGUCACCUUAGUAACAUGGAGAGAGUGUUUGAAGAAAUCAACUGUCAUUGUAAGAAUUUUUAUUGGUUAUGUGCUUUUGGAGCCAAUAUUGAGAGGGAUACAGCAUCAGCCAUUGUCACCUUUCUUCCAAACAUUAAGUAUUUGUAUAUGAGGAAAGCAAACAUUGAUCGGGAGAGUUUAGAGAUGAUUCUGCAGGUCUGCAAGGAGCUUGUGCUUUUGGAUGCCAGGGAUUGUGUAGGUUAUGAAUGUGAUGACCAGUUACUGAAGCUUGCUUCACAUAUUAGUAAUUUCCAGCACGAAGGUUCAACGCUGUUUGAUUAUGAAGACUAUUGGGGACCCAAUGAACAUGACAGUAUUUAUGAUGAUUACCUUUCUGAUUAAGUGGGUUACAUUAAUAAAGGUACUAUUUAGUAUUUAAGUAAGGGAAAUGCUAACGAGUGCCCUUAGGGCACUCAUUAACAAUCCAGUUAAAGGCUAUUUAUGUUUACUAUUUAAGUUUUACAUUUUCUGCAUCAGUUUGAAUGUGCAUAUGGUGAUAUGGGUGAAUUAGUGACAUUUGGGUGGUGUUUGGAGUUGGUGUUGGGUUUUAUGGAGUGGUGUUAUGCUAUUAAAUUUUUGGCAUUAGCCUAUUUCAUGACUCUAAUUGUAAUGAAUUCAAAUUUGUUAUUGUAUUUGCAACCUUGUAAAGGUCUA
Molecule: RNA transcript, 1449 nt
Organism: Quercus lobata
Lineage: Eukaryota; Viridiplantae; Streptophyta; Magnoliopsida; Fagales; Fagaceae
Gene name: F-box/LRR-repeat protein At3g48880-like
Exons: 3
Source: RefSeq, a predicted model, not a curated record